GACUCUAAUGAAACUGCCCGCGUAAGCGGUGAGGAAGGUGGGGAUGACGUCAAAUCAUCACGGCCCUUACGUCUAGGGCUACACACGUGCUACAAUGGUGAAUACAGAGGGAAGCCAACUGGUAACAGUGAGCAAAUCCACAAAAUUCAUCUCAGUUCGGAUUGAGGUCUGCAACUCGACCUCAUGAAGCUGGAAUCGCUAGUAAUCGGAUAUCAGCCAUGAUGCGGUGAAUACGUUCCCGGGCCUUGUACACACCGCCCGUCAAGCCAUGGAAGCUGGGAGUGCCUGAAGUCGGUAACCGUAAGGAGCCGCCUAGGGUAAAACUGGUAACUGGGGCUAAGUCGUAACAAGGUAGCCGUACCGGAAGGUGCGGCUGGAAUAUCUCUUUU
RNAcentral lists this ribosomal RNA (389 nucleotides) under Acidimicrobiales bacterium. RNAcentral's name for it is "bacterial SSU rRNA". It matches the Rfam family "Bacterial small subunit ribosomal RNA", at positions 1136 to 1533 of the family's 1533-position model. The record is from RNAcentral. Lineage: Bacteria; Bacillati; Actinomycetota; Acidimicrobiia; Acidimicrobiales.